UUUUUUUUCUUCCUUUGGGUGGAAAGAUGUUUUAUCCUUUAUGUUGUUUAUUUUAUGACGUUCUGAGAAUCUUCAGCACGGUCAGGGUGAAAAGGGUCUAUCCGCUGUUAUGGUCUUAUAGAUAUCGAGAUUUUGCCUUUAAGUGAAUCUCUUGCAACAUUUCAAUGGAGUUUUUCGUUUUUAGAUGAGGAAUUAUUGCUCAUGUUAAUAAAGUUCUGGAAUUUCGAUUGCACUGGCUUUAUUGUUGAUCCAACAUCUAAAUCCCCAAAUUGGUCCAGUGGCAUCCUUUGGGUAUCAUUUGGUUCACAUGCUUGUUCAAGGACCUUGUGUUUGGGAGGAGAUAGAAUAAAGUAAGGUUUCAUAAAGUAAAGUUUUUCAAAGCAAGGUUUUUCAUGGGUUUCAAACCUUCAUAAUUUUUUUUUAGUGUUUGGGAGGAAGGGAAUGUUUUUUAAAGUAAUUGGAGGUUUUCAAACCUUGUUAACCCACCAAUUUGGUGGGUUGGAAAAUGAAGGUUUUUGGAGUUUUUCAUGCGUUGAUGAAAUACUAUGGCAUCAUUUUGUUUUCAUUUUGAGACAUGUUUUCCAUUUUUCCGUCUAAGAAGUCAUCUACUUGGGGAUUCUUUGUGCAUGAAUGCAAGCCGAAUUAAGCGGUCCCUGUCUGAAGACUCGGAGCAAUAUGCUUCUCUGUUAAUAUCCUAAACUUUUUUCUAGAAACUUUCACAUUUUAUGUUGAGCAAAUUAGUGGAUAACUGAACUUGAUAUUUUACUUCACAGGUGGUGUUGUAAAUUUUUGAGCCUUGUUGUUCUAAGUUAUUUACAUUGCAGCUCUUGGCAGCAGACCCAGCUCUUAAGCGAUUCAAGUCACAUAAGAAGAGUGUGCA
This 880-nucleotide unclassified non-coding RNA is filed under the name Hevea brasiliensis (rubber tree). Lineage: Eukaryota; Viridiplantae; Streptophyta; Magnoliopsida; Malpighiales; Euphorbiaceae. The record is from RNAcentral.